AUGGUCCUGCCGCGCCGGCGCGGCGGCCACAACCACCACCCGUGCCCGUGCCCGCGCCGCGCCGUUCUGCCGGCGGCGGCGCUACUGCUGCUCUUCCUCCUCGCCGCCGUCACGCUGCUCUACGUCUCCCCGCCGCCUCUGUCCGACCACCCGGCCCUCGCCUACUCCCGCCACCGCUCCCCGCAUGCUCUGCUGAACAGCUCUGGCGGCGGCAGCCUAGUGGAGCCCGGGCGCCGCGAGAUUUCCCGCGUUCCAAAAGGUGGUUGGACUGCGACAGAUGGCCUCUGGGGUUCGAAGCUCGCUAGCAAAUUCUAUGGGUGCAGCAACUCAAGCAGCAAGUUUCUUGAUUCAGGUGUUAUGACACAUCCAGACCGUUAUUUGAUGAUUGUUACAAGUGGGGGCCUCAAUCAACAGAGAACAGGGAUAAUUGAUGCUGUUGUUGCUGCACGUAUUUUAAAUGCAACACUUGUUGUUCCCAAAUUGGACCAAACCUCCUUCUGGAAAGAUGCAAGUGACUUUGCUGAAAUUUUUAACGCCGACUGGUUCAUCUCAUUUCUAUCAAAGGAUGUAAGGAUUGUGAAAGAGCUUCCAAAGAUAGGAGGUAAACUGUGGGCUCCUCAUAGAAUGCGUGUGCCCCGCAAAUGCACUCAGCGAUGUUACUUGAACCGUGUGUUGCCUGCACUUAUUAAGAAACAUGUUGUUCGACUAACAAAAUUUGAUUAUAGGCUAGCAAACAGGUUGGAUUCUGAUCUGCAAAAGCUGAGAUGCAGAGUUAACUACCAUGCAUUGAGAUUUACUGACCCAAUACAAGAAAUGGGUGAAAAGAUAAUACAGAGAAUGCGGGAGAGGAGCACGUAUUUUAUUGCUCUUCAUUUAAGAUUUGAACCAGAUAUGCUUGCCUUUUCUGGGUGCUACUACGGUGGUGGAGAAAAAGAGAAGAGAGAACUUGGUGUGAUACGGAAGAGAUGGAAAACCUUGCAUGCUAGCAAUCCAGAGAAAGAAAGAAGGCACGGUAGAUGCCCGCUAACUCCUGAAGAGGUGGGGUUGAUGUUGAGGGCACUGGGCUACAGAAACAAUGUUCAUAUUUAUGUUGCCUCUGGAGAUAUAUAUGGUGGGGCAAAGACAUUAGCACCCCUGAAAGCGCUCUUCCCCAAUCUUCAUACCAAAGAAACAGUAGCAAGCAAAGAUGAGCUGGCUCCGUUCUCAAAGUACUCAUCUCGCAUGGCCGCACUUGAUUUCAUUGUCUGUGAUGGAAGCGAUGCUUUUGUGACCAACAACAAUGGUAAUAUGGCCAAAAUUUUGGCUGGGCGAAGGAGAUAUCUUGGGCAUAAGAGAACGAUCCGACCAAAUGCGAGAAGGCUCUACUUGUUAUUCUUGAGCAGAGGAAACAUGUCCUGGGAUGCAUUCUCCUCCAAAGUGCACAUGGCCCAGAAAGGAUUUAUGGGGGAGCCCAAAGAGCUGAGGCCAGGAAGGGGGGAGUUCCACGAGAACCCCUCGACAUGUAUAUGUGAAAACACCGAUCCCAAAACACCGACCAAACCUAACCUUCAAAGCGAGCAAGGAUUGAGUAAUGGCAGCGAGGGAGGGAAAGCCAUUACCGAGCCCACAGUUGCUAAUCAUACCAACGAGGAGUUGGGAGGAUCCAGUGCGGAAGAAGAUGACACUAGCGCGGAGAAAGAAGACGACACUAGUGCGGAGAAAGAAGAUGACACUAGUGAAGAGAAAGAGGAGAUAGCUGACCCGGAAGCGGAGGAUGAUGCGUUGGUGAGACCAGAUGAUCCUGAGUUGGAGGAGGUUCUUUCAGAUUAG
Molecule: ribosomal RNA, 1809 nt
Filed under: Triticum aestivum (bread wheat)
Lineage: Eukaryota; Viridiplantae; Streptophyta; Magnoliopsida; Poales; Poaceae
Description: partial small subunit ribosomal RNA
Source: RNAcentral